RNAcentral lists this ribosomal RNA (341 nucleotides) under uncultured bacterium. RNAcentral's name for it is "bacterial SSU rRNA". It matches the Rfam family "Bacterial small subunit ribosomal RNA", at positions 28 to 353 of the family's 1533-position model. The record is from RNAcentral.
GACGAACGCUGGCGGCGUGCUUAACACAUGCAAGUCGAACGGGGCGAAGUGAUAGCUUGCUAUUAUGGAGCCUAGUGGCAAACGGGUGAGUAACGCGUAGGCAACCUGCCCUUCAGAUGGGGACAACACCUCGAAAGGGGUGCUAAUACCGAAUGACGUUUCCUGGUCGCAUGACCUGGAAACCAAAGGCCGGGCAACCGGUCACUGAAGGAUGGGCCUGCGUCUGAUUAGCUAGUUGGUGGGGUUAACGGCCCACCAAGGCGACGAUCAGUAGCCGGUCUGAGAGGAUGAACGGCCACAUUGGGACUGAGACACGGCCCAAACUCCUACGGGAGGCAGCA